GGUCUCUUUCCUGUCCUGCCAUGGUAAAGAAGUGCUUAUUUCCCCUUCGCUUUCCACCACGAAUAUUUUUCCUGAGGCCUCCCAGUCAUGCUUCCUGUUUUGCCUGCAGAACUGCAUUUAUGAAGUAGGGACCUGGAAUUGAAGAGACUCCUAAAGGAGAGACAGAAGUUUGAAAGAGCAAGAAGAGUGGAUGUGGAUCCAGACAGAAAAAGAGAACAGCAAAUAUUUGAAAGAGCUUAAGACGUACUCCUCAAGUGGGUGAUUUAAAGACUAAACUACA
RNAcentral lists this long non-coding RNA (280 nucleotides) under Homo sapiens (human). RNAcentral describes it as "HSALNT0364322". Lineage: Eukaryota; Metazoa; Chordata; Mammalia; Primates; Hominidae. The record is from RNAcentral.